RNAcentral lists this ribosomal RNA (440 nucleotides) under uncultured bacterium. RNAcentral's name for it is "partial 16S ribosomal RNA". It matches the Rfam family "Bacterial small subunit ribosomal RNA", at positions 338 to 795 of the family's 1533-position model. The record is from RNAcentral.
CCUACGUGAGGCAGCAGUGGGGAAUAUUGCACAAUGGGGGAAACCCUGAUGCAGCGACGCCGCGGGAGUGAAGAAGUAAUUCGUUAUGUAAAGCUCUAUCAGCAGGGAAGAAAAUGACGGUACCUGAGUAAGAAGCCCCGGCCAACUACGUGCCAGCAGCCGCGGUAAUACGUAGGGGGCAAGCGUUAUCCGGAUUUACUGGGGGUAAAGGGAGCGUAGACGGCAGUGCAAGUCUGGAGUGAAAGGCGGGGGCUCAACCCCCGGACUGCUCUGGAAACUGUACGGCUGGAGUGCAGGAGAGGUAAGUGGAAUUCCUGGUGUAGCGGUGAAAUGCGUAGAUAUUAGGAGGAACACCAGUGGCGAAGGCGGCUUACUGGACUGUAACUGACGUUGAGGCUCGAAAGCGUGGGGAGCAAACAGGAUUAGAUACCCGUGUAGUC